This 606-nucleotide unclassified non-coding RNA is filed under the name Zea mays. RNAcentral describes it as "misc RNA Zm00001eb238580". Lineage: Eukaryota; Viridiplantae; Streptophyta; Magnoliopsida; Poales; Poaceae. The record is from RNAcentral.
CAGCGCCGCUGACUAUUGGGCUCGAUGACCCUGUAUAUCUUCCCCCGCCGCCGAGUCCGCGUCGUCGCCAAACUCGCUGCUGCCGCGCAAUUCUUGCGAAGUGGGUACGACCGACGCAGCAGGGAUAUAAGCCUACGCCUCAGAACUCCCAGUUCCCAUCUCCGCUACAGAAAACCCCAGCACCAGAGAGGUCAAGGAGAGGAGUGUCGCUUCCAUGCGCCAUCUCAAGCGAACCUGCGAUUCAGUCUCGGGCAACUCACGUGGGUGGCCAACAGAAGAUUGCAGAAGCGCGCUCGGGGUUCGCCUGUGCCAUGGGCGGACUGGUGUACCCGGAAUUGCUCGUCAGAGCGGGAGCGCUGCCGUCGUCUGCCUUCUACCAUGGGCAGGGAUCUUCGCGGCAUAAUCAGUGACGAGCAAGUGAUUGAGGAUCCAGGUGUUCAGCAGGUAGAAGUUGCUGAGCAGGAGCUCAUUGAAGGUGCUCCAGAAGGAGCCCUACAAUGAGGAGUACGAGCUUAUCUAGGUGGCGUCUCCCAGUCAGCUUUAUGGCGCCAAGGAUUAAUAUUUAGUUCACUUUACUGUUAUCAUUUAUUUAUGUAAGACUUCCGC